CGUGCUCCCAUUGCUCAACAACAACCAACACACUGGUAUGCUAUUAACUGUUUCAUCUGAAAUUAGGAGAGAUUUAGUGGUUUAAAUUUCAUUUAGGGACAUGGAGAUUUCAGCUGAUGGCUAAUGUCUUCUGAAACUGAAUUAGAAGAACACGUACAUAAUUUGAGUUUGAGCUUAACUAAAAGGACAAGAGUUUCAGUGAAGUCUGUAGCAAAGAAACCUAAACUCAGUCUGAUUUAUGUUCUUGGAAUGGUGGAGAGGCGUGUGAUGAGAGCAUAGAAUAUACCGUCUGAAGAAAAAUGGUAUGCUUUCAGUGAGAAGAAAUGCCAACCCUAUAAAUGGAGAUUCUGUACUGCCUAAUGUUUUGAAGACUAUAUGAAAAAGCACAGUGAAAAAUUUCUCCAUGUGGAAAAUGAAAUGCCUUGACAAAUGGGAAAUAGUUAAUUCUUUAUAAAGUAUACAACCUCUGCUGACAUAAAAGAUCUUUUAUUUUAUUAACUUUUGAGUUUGUUUUAAUCGUGGUAUGAAAGGAGAAAAAUCCUUUUGGAUUUGAUGAAGGAAGUAUUGAGAAUUCAGGCAUGUAUUUUUAGCUGAAACAUUAAAAACACAUCCUUUUUUGGUGCAAUCUAUUGUCUAUUUAGGUUUUUUAAUUGUUACUUUAAUAUUUUUAUAUCUGAUAAUGUGGAAAAGAUCAUAAAUAGAAAAUUUGUAAACUGACUGAGAAACUCUCUUGUAGAUAUAUGUGACAUUCUAUGCACAGAUUUUGCAGGCUUUGUUUUUUGAAAUAACUGAUCUGAAAAUAUGGCAGUAAACUUUUCUUUCUAAAACUGUUAGAUAUUCUGUGUGUUGCUGACAUUAUUGCAAUGUUUAUCUAGAGAGAUAGAUAAACCAGUCACCCAACUGUCUCCUGACCUUGAUCUUGGGUACAAAAUCCUGAAAAAAAUGUUUCAGUUUCUUGUACUAUCUGAGAGUUUAUAUAAUGAAGGAGGACAUUCCUUUUAGUCCUUUGCUUCGCUGUUGCUUUUAUGGUUGACCUCUGCUCUUCUUGCCUGCUUUACUUCCAUUAAAGAGGAAGUAAAAGAGCCCUGAAAGAAAAGGAGGAGGUUAUCGUGGAAGACUGAGUUCCA
RNAcentral lists this long non-coding RNA (1127 nucleotides) under Coturnix japonica (Japanese quail). Its description in RNAcentral is "lncRNA (ENSCJPG00005010370.1)". The record is from RNAcentral. Lineage: Eukaryota; Metazoa; Chordata; Aves; Galliformes; Phasianidae.